This is a non-coding RNA of Pocillopora verrucosa, 578 nucleotides long. The record is from RefSeq and is a predicted model, not a curated record. Lineage: Eukaryota; Metazoa; Cnidaria; Anthozoa; Scleractinia; Pocilloporidae.
UAUUGAACAAUGAACAUUUCUUAUGUUUUCAAAGCGGACGGAAUCUUCAAACAGCGCACCAGAGCUUUUUUAAUAGAUUCGUUCCAAAGGAAGCUAUUGACUGACUGAACAAUAUAGCUGCGUAAGAAAUUGUCAAUCAACUUCAAAAUUUAGCCCAAUUGCUGGACACAACACAAAGUUCUAGAAAGUUUCAAGACACGAGGGUGACUCCGAACUAAGGGGGAAGCUGUUGUGCAAUUUCUUUCCAUUCGUUCACAUUUCCGUGGAUAUUUGACGAUCGUUGGAAUUCAGAGAGGAUAAAAAAAUGCCUGACCGAGCGCCCGUGGCCACCCACAACGAAACUGGUAAAAUGAUGUUGUGUCAUGUCUUUCGGCCAUGUAAACUAAUCAUGUGGAGCUCAUGGAUCAUUUUCUUCUUAGUCAAUUUGGAGACGCAAGGUAAUGUUCUUUGGUUAAGCCUUUAAUCCCUAAGAGUGACCAGCAUCUAAUUUAAGAAGUUUUGAUUGCAAAACAAAUUCUCCUUGUCAAAAACUUAGGAAAUGUAGAGAGAACAGUAGGGAGAUUAUUCUUACUCAUGUU